Molecule: ribosomal RNA, 1362 nt
Filed under: metagenome
Description: bacterial LSU rRNA
Rfam family: Bacterial large subunit ribosomal RNA
Source: RNAcentral
UAGGUGAAGUCAAUGAUCCCAUGCUGCCAAGAAAAGCCUCUAGCGAGCUUCGAGCGGCCCGUACCCCAAACCGACACAGGUGGUCAGGUAGAGAAUACCGAGGCGAUCGGGCGAACUGUGGUUAAGGAACUCGGCAAAUUACCCCCGUAACUUCGGGAGAAGGGGGGCCACAGACUGUCAUACCCCACGCGGGUGGCAGCAGUAGGUGGCCGCAGAGACCAGGGGGAAGCGACUGUUUACUAAAAACACAGGUCCGUGCGAAGUCGUAAGACGAUGUAUACGGACUGACGCCUGCCCGGUGCUGGAACGUUAAGGGGACCGGUUAGUCCGCAAGGGCGAAGCUGGGAACUUAAGCGCCAGUAAACGGCGGUGGUAACUAUAACCAUCCUAAGGUAGCGAAAUUCCUUGUCGGGUAAGUUCCGACCUGCACGAAUGGCGUAACGACUUCCCUACUGUCUCAACCACAGGCCCGGCGAAAUUGCACUACGAGUAAAGAUGCUCGUUACGCGCGGAAGGACGGAAAGACCCCGGGACCUUCACUAUAGCUUGACAUUGGUAUCCGAAUUUAAUUGUGUAGGAUAGGUGGGAGGCUUUGAUCCGCGGACGCCAGUCCGUCGGGGAGCCAACGUUGAAAUACCACUCUGUUGACUUUGGGUAUCUAACUUCGGACCGUGAUCCGGUUCAGGGACAGUGUCUGGUGGGUAGUUUAACUGGGGCGGUUGCCUCCUAAAAUGUAACGGAGGCGCCCAAAGGUUCCCUCAGCCUGGUUGGCAAUCAGGUGUUGAGUGCAAGUGCACAAGGGAGCUUGACUGUGAGACUGACAGGUCGAGCAGGGACGAAAGUCGGGACUAGUGAUCCGGCACCUGCGAGUGGAAGCGGUGUCGCUCAACGGAUAAAAGGUACCCCGGGGAUAACAGGCUGAUCUUUCCCAAGAGCCCAUAUCGACGGGAUGGUUUGGCACCUCGAUGUCGGCUCGUCGCAUCCUGGGGCUGGAGUAGGUCCCAAGGGUUGGGCUGUUCGCCCAUUAAAGCGGCACGCGAGCUGGGUUUAGAACGUCGUGAGACAGUUCGGUCCCUAUCCUCCGCGCGCGUAGGAGACUUGAGAAGAGCUGUCCCUAGUACGAGAGGACCGGGACGGACGAACCUCUGGUGUGCCAGUUGUCAUGCCAAUGGCACGGCUGGUUAGCUACGUUCGGAAGGGAUAACCGCUGAAAGCAUCUAAGCGGGAAGCUCGCUUCAAGAUGAGGUCUCCCACCCCUUAGAGGGUUAAGGCCCCCAGCUAGACCACUGGGUUGAUAGGCCAGAAGUGUAAGCCUGGUAACAGGUUCAGCCGACUGGUACUAAUAGGCCGAGGACUUCACCG